RNAcentral lists this ribosomal RNA (510 nucleotides) under uncultured bacterium. RNAcentral describes it as "partial 16S ribosomal RNA". It matches the Rfam family "Bacterial small subunit ribosomal RNA", at positions 28 to 507 of the family's 1533-position model. The record is from RNAcentral.
GACGAACGCUGGCGGCGUGCUUAACACAUGCAAGUCGAACGAAGAGCGAUGGAAUCUUGCUUCUAUCAAUCUUAGUGGCGAACGGGUGAGUAACGCGUAAUCAACCUGCCCUUCAGAGGGGGACAACAGUUGGAAACGACUGCUAAUACCGCAUACGAUCUAAUCUCGGCAUCGAGGAUAGAUGAAAGGUGGCCUCUAUGUAUAAGCUAUCACUGAAGGAGGGGAUUGCGUCUGAUUAGCUAGUUGUAGGGGUAACGGCCCACCAAGGCGAUGAUCAGUAGCCGGUAUGAGAGGAGGGACGGCCACAUUGGGAAUGAGACACGGCACAGACUCCUGAGGGAGGCAGCAGUGGGGAAUCUUGCGCAAUGGACGAAAGGCGGAAGGAGCAACGCCGCGUGAGUGAUGACGGCCUUCGGGUUGUAAAGCGCUGUUAAUCGGGACGAAAGGCCUUCUUGCGAAUAGUGAGAAGGAUUGACGGUACCGGAAGAGAAAGCCACGGCUAACUACGUG